UGAGGAAUAUUUGUCAAUGGGCGAGAGCCUGAACCAGCCAAGUAGCGUGCAGGAUGACGGCCCUAUGGGUUGUAAACUGCUUUUAUGUGGGGAUAAAGUGCGUGACGUGUCAUGCAUUGCAGGUACCACAUGAAUAAGGACCGGCUAAUUCCGUGCCAGCAGCCGCGGUAAUACGGAAGGUCCGGGCGUUAUCCGGAUUUAUUGGGUUUAAAGGGAGCGUAGGCUGUCUAUUAAGCGUGUUGUGAAAUAUACCGGCUCAACCGGUGGCUUGCAGCGCGAACUGGUCGACUUGAGUAUGCAGGAAGUAGGCGGAAUUCAUGGUGUAGCGGUGAAAUGCUUAGAUAUCAUGACGAACUCCGAUUGCGCAGGCAGCUUACUGUAGCAUAACUGACGCUGAUGCUCGAAAGUGCGGGUAUCAAACAGG
Molecule: ribosomal RNA, 424 nt
Filed under: Fusobacteriota bacterium
Lineage: Bacteria; Fusobacteriati; Fusobacteriota
Description: Fusobacteria bacterium partial 16S ribosomal RNA
Rfam family: Bacterial small subunit ribosomal RNA
Source: RNAcentral